This 465-nucleotide ribosomal RNA is filed under the name Vreelandella stevensii. RNAcentral describes it as "partial 16S ribosomal RNA". It matches the Rfam family "Bacterial small subunit ribosomal RNA", at positions 338 to 795 of the family's 1533-position model. Lineage: Bacteria; Pseudomonadati; Pseudomonadota; Gammaproteobacteria; Oceanospirillales; Halomonadaceae. The record is from RNAcentral.
CCUACGGGGGGCUGCAGUGGGGAAUAUUGGACAAUGGGCGAAAGCCUGAUCCAGCCAUGCCGCGUGUGUGAAGAAGGCCUUCGGGUUGUAAAGCACUUUCAGUGGGGAAGAAAGCCUUGGGGCUAAUACCCUCGAGGAAGGACAUCACCCACAGAAGAAGCACCGACUAACUCCGUGCCAGCAGCCGCGGUAAUACGGAGGGUGCGAGCGUUAAUCGGAAUUACUGGGCGUAAAGCGCGCGUAGGCGGUCUGAUAAGCCGGUUGUGAAAGCCCCGGGCUCAACCUGGGAACGGCAUCCGGAACUGUCAGGCUAGAGUGCAGGAGAGGAAGGUAGAAUUCCCGGUGUAGCGGUGAAAUGCGUAGAGAUCGGGAGGAAUACCAGUGGCGAAGGCGGCCUUCUGGACUGACACUGACGCUGAGGUGCGAAAGCGUGGGUAGCAAACAGGAUUAGAUACCCUUGUAGUC